GGAUGAGCCCGCGGCCUAUCAGCUUGUUGGUGGGGUAAUGGCCUACCAAGGCGGCGACGGGUAGCCGGCCUGAGAGGGUGUACGGCCACAUUGGGACUGAGAUACGGCCCAGACUCCUACGGGAGGCAGCAGUGGGGAAUAUUGCACAAUGGGCGCAAGCCUGAUGCAGCGACGCCGCGUGGGGGAUGAAGGCCUUCGGGUUGUAAACUCCUUUCGCUAGGGACGAAGCUUUGUUGUGACGGUACCUAGAUAAGAAGCACCGGCUAACUACGUGCCAGCAGCCGCGGUAAUACGUAGGGUGCGAGCGUUGUCCGGAAUUACUGGGCGUAAAGGGCUCGUAGGUGGUUUGUCGCGUCGUCUGUGAACUUCUGGGGCUUAGCUCCGGGC
This 387-nucleotide ribosomal RNA is filed under the name uncultured bacterium. Its description in RNAcentral is "bacterial SSU rRNA". It matches the Rfam family "Bacterial small subunit ribosomal RNA", at positions 223 to 620 of the family's 1533-position model. The record is from RNAcentral.